This 827-nucleotide ribosomal RNA is filed under the name marine metagenome. Its description in RNAcentral is "bacterial SSU rRNA". It matches the Rfam family "Bacterial small subunit ribosomal RNA", at positions 664 to 1520 of the family's 1533-position model. The record is from RNAcentral.
GAAUUCCUGGUGUAGCGGUAAAAUGCGUUAAUAUCAGUAAGAACACCAAAGGCGAAGGCAAUCUACUGGAACACUCCUGACACUGAGGGACGAAAGCGUGGGUAGCGAAUGGGAUUAGAUACCCCAGUAGUCCACGCCGUAAACGAUGGAUACUAGAUGUUGGCACACCAUUCGUGUCAGUGUCGUAGCUAACGCGUUAAGUAUCCCGCCUGGGGAGUACGGUCGCAAGAUUAAAACUCAAAGGAAUAGACGGGGACCCGCACAAGCGGUGGAGCGUGCGGUUUAAUUCGAUAUUAAGCGAGGAACCUUACCUGGGCUUAAAUCACAGCUGCAAGCCUCCCGAAAGGGAGGAAUUCUUCGAGAGUGCUGUGAAGGUGCUGCAUGGUUGUCGUCAGCUCGUGGCGUGAGCUGUUCCCUUAAGUGGGGUAACGAGCGCAACCCUUGUCCUGUGUUACAUGUGUCACAGGAGACUGCCCUCGCAAGAGGGAGGAAGGUGAGGACGACGUCAAAUCAGCAUGGCCCUUACGUCCAGGGCGACACGCGCGCUACAAUGGCAGGUACAAUAGGCAGCCAACCCGUAAGGGGGAGCAAAUCCUAAAAACCUGUCCCAGUUCGGAUUGAGGUCUGCAACUCGACCUCAUGAAGUUGGAAUCGCUAGUAACGGCGGAUCAGCCACGCCGCCGUGAAUACGUUCUCGGGUCUUGUACUCACCGCCCGUCACGUCAAGGGAGUUGGUAAUACCCGAACGUCGCCGUAGGGCGGCGGAAGGUAGGACCGAUAACAGGGACGAAGUCGUAACAAGGCACCCGUAGCGGAAGCUGUGGGUG